RNAcentral lists this ribosomal RNA (253 nucleotides) under uncultured bacterium. RNAcentral describes it as "partial 16S ribosomal RNA". It matches the Rfam family "Bacterial small subunit ribosomal RNA", at positions 524 to 776 of the family's 1533-position model. The record is from RNAcentral.
UACGUAGGGGCCGAGCGUUGUCCGGAGUUAUUGGGCGUAAAGCGCGCGCAGGCGGCCUCGCGCGCCCGACGUGAGAGCCCCCGGCUUAACCGGGGAGGGUCGUUGGGGACGGCGGGGCUUGAGGGCGGGAGAGGUCGGUGGAAUUCCCGGUGUUGUGGUGAAAUGCGUAGAGAUCGGGAGGAACACCUGUGGCGAAGGCGGCCGACUGGGCCGACCCUGACGCUGAGGCGCGAAGGCGUGGGGAGCGAACGGG